GCUACGGGUGGCAGCAGUGGGGAAUAUUGCACAAUGGGGGAAACCCUGAUGCAGCGACGCCGCGUGAGUGAAGAAGUAUCUCGGUACGUAAAGCUCUAUCAGCAGGGAAGAAAAUGACGGUACCUGACUAAGAAGCCCCGGCUAACUACGUGCCAGCAGCCGCGGUAAGACGUAGGGGGCAAGCGUUAUCCGGAUUUACUGGGUGUAAAGGGAGCGUAGACGGCAGCACAAGUCUGGAGUGAAAUCCCGGGGCUUAACCCCGGGACUGCUUUGGAAACUGCCUGACUGGAGUGCUGGAGAGGCAAGCGGAAUUCCUAGUGUAGCGGUGAAAUGCGUAGAUAUUAGGAAGAACACCAGUGGCGAAGGCGGCUUGCUGGACAGUAACUGACGUUGAGGCUCGAAAGCGUGGGGAGCAAACAGGAUUAGAUACCCUUGUAGUC
Molecule: ribosomal RNA, 440 nt
Filed under: uncultured bacterium
Lineage: Bacteria
Description: partial 16S ribosomal RNA
Rfam family: Bacterial small subunit ribosomal RNA
Source: RNAcentral